RNAcentral lists this transfer RNA (77 nucleotides) under Clostridium sp. RNAcentral's name for it is "tRNA-Asp". It matches the Rfam family "tRNA". Rfam says of the family: Transfer RNA (tRNA) molecules are approximately 80 nucleotides in length. Their secondary structure includes four short double-helical elements and three loops (D, anti-codon, and T loops). The record is from RNAcentral. Lineage: Bacteria; Bacillati; Bacillota; Clostridia; Eubacteriales; Clostridiaceae. RNAcentral also lists the same sequence under 3 other names.
GGCUUAGUAGCUCAGCUGGUUAGAGUGCCGGCCUGUCACGCCGGAGGUCGUGGGUUCGAUCCCCAUCUAAGUCGCCA